This 623-nucleotide ribosomal RNA is filed under the name uncultured Anaplasma sp. RNAcentral's name for it is "bacterial SSU rRNA". It matches the Rfam family "Bacterial small subunit ribosomal RNA", at positions 21 to 672 of the family's 1533-position model. Lineage: Bacteria; Pseudomonadati; Pseudomonadota; Alphaproteobacteria; Rickettsiales; Anaplasmataceae. The record is from RNAcentral.
GGCUCAGAACGAACGCUGGCGGCAAGCUUAACACAUGCAAGUCGAACGAAUUAUUCCCAUAGCUUGCUAUGAGAAUAAUUAGUGGCAGACGGGUGAGUAAUGCAUAGGAAUCUACCUAGUAGUAUAGGAUAGCCACUAGAAGUGGUGGGUAAUACUGUAUAAUCCCUGCGGGGGAAAGAUUUAUCGCUACAUGAUGAGCCUAUGUUAGAUUAGCUAGUUGGUAGGGUAAAGGCCUACCAAGGCAGUGAUCUAUAGCUGGUCUGAGAGGAUGAUCAGCCACACUGGAACUGAGACACGGUCCAGACUCCUACGGGAGGCAGCAGUGGGGAAUAUUGGACAAUGGGCGCAAGCCUGAUCCAGCUAUGCCGCGUGAGUGAGGAAGGCCUUAGGGUUGUAAAGCUCUUUCAGUGGGGAAGAUAAUGACGGUACCCACAGAAGAAGUCCCGGCAAACUCCGUGCCAGCAGCCGCGGUAAUACGGAGGGGGCAAGCGUUGUUCGGAAUUAUUGGGCGUAAAGGGCAUGUAGGUGGUCUAGUUAGUUAAAGGUGAAAUGCCAGGGCUUAACCCUGGAGCUGCUUUUAAUACUGCUAGACUGGAGUCCGGGAGAGGAUAGCGGAAUUCCUA